GCAGAGACUGGGCUGGAUAGCCUGGAGGAGGGCCAGCUGGGAAAGGCAUGAUUACUGUCCUCAAACACCUAGAAGAGCAUCGCAUGCGGCCCCGGGGGAAGGGGCUGUUAGGGGGAAGCAGACGACUGCUCCUAUAAAAAAGGGACUUUGAAGAGGUGGAGCUGGCCAAAGAUGGAAGAGGGGCCUAGAAGACGGCCAGCAAGGCAGGACACAAGCACAGUGGAUGCUGGAAGGGGACUCAAGCCCCCACAGACAACUGCUGCCAACAAGCAGAAAAGGAGAAUGUUUAUGCAGCCUAGUCACAAGGGAAAUGACAUGAGGACAUGAGGACCUCAGACGGCAAAAUCAAGGCUUCAACACCUUUGGGGAAUCCACAGCACAAGAGCCCCUAUUUAAGUUCAACCCCAGAAUGAGAUCAGCUGACACUUGUUCACUCCUCCCUGCGCCCAGGAAAUACUUGGUUAUGUGUUACUGACUGAAGAUUUGGAGUCCCUGUUUCCCAUGUUCACUCAGCAUCUGACUUGGGCUCCCUGGGCCUCAAUUCCUCCAUCUAUAAAAUGAAAGUGAUAAAGUGAUACUGGCUUACCACGAGAACUAUCUAAAGCUCCUGUGAGAGUUCCUGAACAGUCAGGUCUGUGCCAGCAUCACUCCUCCAAAAAGCCUUCCUACAGUCUCCCCAGGACCCUCUGUGGCUCCUCACUGGGCUAGCACCCGUGUUUAGGUGACCCACAGCUCCCUGUCCAUCACUGUGUGUUUAUACCUAUUUAAUGUUCCUGCAUCUGCCUUUAGACCCUGAGCUUCCUGAAGGCAGGGACCAUGUGGUUCACAUUUCUAACUCCAUCCCCGGACCAGAAGAGGCACCAGGUAAAUGCUUGCUGACACUUGUGAGGUAGGACUCCAUCUCUAACUUGGCUUUGGAAGACUCUGAGGACUCAGCAAGUAGAGCCUGUGAGAGGGGGCUUGGUGUGCAGAAGACAGAGGAGAAUGAUCCAGCCAUGACUGUGCUACUCCAUCAUACCCCCAUAUCCCUCAUUGCUCAAUUCUCCUCCCAAACACUUCUGAAAGCACAACACGAUGCAUUAAGGAACAUUUCUUUGAAAGAUCAUUAGUCACCCCUCCUGUCCAUAAUACCCUGCCCCGACAUGGCACAGUGUUAGCCACACCCUAAGAACUAUCUAAAUAUUAUUGACUAACAAGCCUAGUUACCAGGUAUUUGCCAUCUGUUCAAGAAAUGACUAUUGCAGAAGUCCAGUCACUAUCUGAAGUCCUUAUACUGCAUCUUAUAUUUGAUCCCCACAAAAAGAUAGUUUCACCAUCUACCCUUGUGUUGCUAAGGAAACAGCCUCAGAGAGGUUGAGGGCUCUGCUCAGCAUCACACAGCAAAGUCAUACUCCAUCUGUUAAGUGAAUGCAAACCUUACAGGUUUCAACCUCCAGGACCCAAUCUUCAUGGUAUUCAGUUUCACAAGAGCAAAAAUACCAGCUCGUGUCAGUAAGACUGAUACACACAAUCCUACAGAGCUUAGAAGUCUUAAAAUGUUAAGUUUGCCCUUCCUAUAAGCAGGUGGGAUGUGGCAACAUUACACUUUCACAAAGACCCUAAGCUCAAGCCAGCAUCUCGAGGGGCACCUGAAGAAAGUGGAUUUUACCUUAACAACUUCUAUCCCUCUAAGGAGGUCGUCUGCCCUGAUAUUUUUACCAACACACUUUCCCAAGCUUCAGGCUGUCCUGUCAGACCCUUUUCUACUCUCACAAAGAGACCUGUGACAUCACUUGCCCCUCAAACAGUCUGUUCUCCUCUCAGGAUUGCCACCCAUUGGUAAAAGUGAGGAGCUGCAUUAGGUUGGGGGUGGCACCAGGGGAUGGCAUUCAGGUUCCACCUGGCACAUUACUUCUGGUUUCCUGCCUGUGUUGAGAAGACUCCUAAAAGUGUGACCAGGCUACGUGGGAGUGCUGGACUCCAAGCUGGAUGGAAAUCAAUCUUAUUCUCUACUCUCACUGGCUCCCGGAACAGCACCUGGUACUCUAGGAAACUGCCCACACGAGUGAUGACCCUCUAGAGACAAACCCCAGCUCUCGGUGCCCAGCAGACCGGCCUUGGACGAUCCUCUCCAGCUGAUCUUGCUUAUCUUGACUCCUGGACAGCCUGCCCCUUGUCUCCCCUUAAAAUUUCUGUCUACUUGAGCCUGCUCUGCUUGGAUAUCCUGAAGGUCAUCUCGUCCCUAAAGUCUGCCUUGACUCCCUCCAUAUUCCCAUCACAGUCCUAUCCUCUAAACAGCCCAUCUAGUCCACCUACAUCUUUCCAGGCACGGGAUGCAGGCAGGCUUUAGCUACUUUUAAGUCUUCUCUCCCCAGGAUGUCAGUAAUAGCAGCAGCUGACCCUUAAUGCCUCCUCCCUACCAUGUACACCUUUCUUCCUGCUAAGACUAUAGUCAGGAUAUCACCACUUCUGUUUGCAAGUGAGGAAACCGAGAGGUUAGCACCUAGUCCAGUCUCACAGCUCUAGUGGCAGCCUGGGGUCUGAACCCCAGCAUUCUGACCCUGAACUAUGCUCUAACUACAGGUCUGUAUGACUUCUGGGGUGUGGGCUUCUCAUUGUGCCUAGCUCAGCCACACCCAUGUAGGCUUAAUAAACGCUAUUCUUUUGCAUUCCAAGGAAGCAACAUAGCCAGUGUGAAUUAUCAAUGCAAGCAAUUCAAUAAAAGGCUUCCAAAUCA
Molecule: non-coding RNA, 2716 nt
Organism: Ictidomys tridecemlineatus (thirteen-lined ground squirrel)
Lineage: Eukaryota; Metazoa; Chordata; Mammalia; Rodentia; Sciuridae
Source: RefSeq, a predicted model, not a curated record